CAUAUGAUCUUCCUGCAGAUGCCA
Molecule: non-coding RNA, 24 nt
Filed under: Arabidopsis thaliana (thale cress)
Lineage: Eukaryota; Viridiplantae; Streptophyta; Magnoliopsida; Brassicales; Brassicaceae
Source: RNAcentral